RNAcentral lists this transfer RNA (73 nucleotides) under Kineosporia babensis. RNAcentral's name for it is "tRNA-Gln". It matches the Rfam family "tRNA". From Rfam's summary of the family: Transfer RNA (tRNA) molecules are approximately 80 nucleotides in length. The record is from RNAcentral. Lineage: Bacteria; Bacillati; Actinomycetota; Actinomycetes; Kineosporiales; Kineosporiaceae. RNAcentral also lists the same sequence under 1 other name.
UCCCCCCUGGUGUAACGGCAACACACAGGCCUUUGGAGCCUUGAGAUACCUGUUCGAAUCAGGUGGGGGGAGC